This 625-nucleotide ribosomal RNA is filed under the name uncultured Inocybe. RNAcentral describes it as "eukaryotic LSU rRNA". The stretch from base 225 to 378 matches the Rfam family "5.8S ribosomal RNA". The record is from RNAcentral. Lineage: Eukaryota; Fungi; Basidiomycota; Agaricomycetes; Agaricales; Cortinariaceae.
GGAAGUAAAAGUCGUAACAAGGUUUCCGUAGGUGAACCUGCGGAAGGAUCAUUACCGAGAGCCCCUCCCCGACGCAUGCUUGCAUGCGUCGUCGAAGGGGCUAUUCUCACACCCUUCUUUAUGCGUACCUUUUGUUCUUCCUCGGCGGGUUGCCCUGCCGACGGAACACCAUCAUAACCCUUUUUGCAUCUAGCAUUACCUGUUCUGAUACCCUCAAUCGUUACAACUUUCAACAAUGGAUCUCUUGGCUCUGGCAUCGAUGAAGAACGCAGCGAAAUGCGAUAAGUAGUGUGAAUUGCGGAAUUCAGUGAAUCAUCGAAUCUUUGAACGCACAUUGCGCCCCUUGGUAUUCCGAGGAGCAUGCCUGUUUGAGUGUCAUUUUACUUCUCUCAACCACAUCAUUGUGAUGUGGCUUGGAUGUGGGGGAUUUUGCAGGCUUCUGAAGUGAAGUUGGCUCUCCUGAAAUGCAUUAGUGGUAUCUGAGCUGCCAUUUGGUGUGAUAAAUUUAUCUAUGCCUUUGGUGAUGCUGGGUCAGCACCGCUUCUAACGAGUAUUACUUGACAAAUUUGACCUCAAAUCAGGUAGGACUACCCGCUGAACUUAAGCAUAUCAAUAAGCGGAGGAA